GAGCUACGUUAGUCAGGGUGAUGUGCAAAACACGGAUCCUUCGGCUUUUGAACGCAAAUUGCGGCUGAAAGUGUCAAAGCUUCAGCCUUGCCUGAGUGAGGGUCGUUGUUGAUUAUCAACACUACUCAUAGUGUUAUCAUUCGUCUCUCUUUUGAAACUAAUGGAACACUGUCGUUUCGGUUGAUUCCUUGUUGUGUCGCCGACUGUUAAAAAGACAGUCUGAUACUUUAACAUUUUGUUGUUAACAAGGUUACCGACUACACUUGUGUAGAAGAAUCUUACGACUAAAUCGACCUCACUUCAGGCAAGAUUACCCCCUGAACUUAA
This 327-nucleotide unclassified non-coding RNA is filed under the name uncultured fungus. RNAcentral describes it as "sequence contains ITS1". The stretch from base 1 to 105 matches the Rfam family "5.8S ribosomal RNA", at positions 50 to 154 of the family's 154-position model. The record is from RNAcentral. Lineage: Eukaryota; Fungi.